GAUGAACGCUGGCGGCGUGCCUAAUACAUGCAAGUCGAGCGAACAGACGAGGAGCUUGCUCCUCUGACGUUAGCGGCGGACGGGUGAGUAACACGUGGAUAACCUACCUAUAAGACUGGGAUAACUUCGGGAAACCGGAGCUAAUACCGGAUAAUAUAUUGAACCGCAUGGUUCAAUAGUGAAAGACGGUUUUGCUGUCACUUAUAGAUGGAUCCGCGCCGCAUUAGCUAGUUGGUAAGGUAACGGCUUACCAAGGCAACGAUGCGUAGCCGACCUGAGAGGGUGAUCGGCCACACUGGAACUGAGACACGGUCCAGACUCCUACGGGAGGCAGCAGUAGGGAAGCUUCCGCAAUGGGCGAAAGCCUGACGGAGCAACGCCGCGUGAGUGAUGAAGGUCUUCGGAUCGUAAAACUCUGUUAUUAGGGAAGAACGAAUGUGUAAGUAACUAUGCACGUCUUGACGGUACCUAGUCAGAAAGCCACGGCUAACUACGUG
RNAcentral lists this ribosomal RNA (497 nucleotides) under uncultured bacterium. RNAcentral describes it as "partial 16S ribosomal RNA". It matches the Rfam family "Bacterial small subunit ribosomal RNA", at positions 28 to 507 of the family's 1533-position model. The record is from RNAcentral.